Perca fluviatilis (European perch) is the source of this 11608-nucleotide RNA transcript. It is a transcript of the gene named nucleosome-remodeling factor subunit BPTF-like, with no coding region annotated. The record is from RefSeq and is a predicted model, not a curated record. Lineage: Eukaryota; Metazoa; Chordata; Actinopteri; Perciformes; Percidae. The transcript has 37 exons.
UCUGCAGGCGACCCAGAGCGGGACACCGGCCAUACAGUUUGAGCUUUCCGCGCUGAAAUUGAGACCGGGGCUUGGUGGAGACUUAUCGGGAACCGUCACCAGAUCUGUUGGUUUCUUUCUCCCCCGCUUUUCUCCGGUGUGCGUGGCUUAUUCGAGCAUCGAGAUUGAAGCGGAACAGAAGAUACUCUCUCCCACAAUGAGGGGGAGAAGAGGAAGGCCGCCCAAACAAGCAGCCGUGAUGCGGGAAGGUUCACCCGGGCCAGUCCGCGGCUCUCGGGGCAGUAGGAGUAGAGGGAUGCGUGGACGGGGACGAGGCAGAGGACGCGGUCGAGGACGGGGUGGAAGUGGCGGCGUUUGCGGCACUGGCUCUGCGGAGGUGGAUACAGAAAUCUCCGGCCGAGAGAACUUUCAUUCGUCCCGGGGCCGAAGGAAAGUUGGAGCCUCCACCACGGCGGCGGCCGCGGCAUUGCGGGGCAGAGGAGGCAGAGGGAGAGGCAGGGGGUCGAGAGGCAGCCGCGGCAGUAGAGGCGGAGUGAGGCGGCCUCAAACCAAGGUGGUCUACGACGACAACAGCGAUGAGGAGGACGAUAAUUUAAGCUAUAGGUCAGACGAAGAUGAACUCCUGAACGACAACCCUUCGGAUCUUGAAGAAGAGGAGGCCUUGGGAAACGACUCUGACUAUCUGGAGGAACUACCAGAUGAUGAUGAUGCCAGCUACUGUACCGAGAGUAGUUUUAGGAGCCACAGCACGCUCGGUAGCACCCCAGGCCGGAGAAAGAGUCGGGCAUUGCGACCGCAGUCUCCCAUCCUUGAGGCAAAGGACAUUCCCUCCCUGGAGCUUCCCAAGUCCUCUGAGGACCUCCAGGUUCCUACCUCACAGCUCCUUAAUGUGUCUGCCGUCUACGAAGUCCUACGUAACUUUGGCUCGGUGCUGCGUCUCUCCCCGUUCCGCUUUGAGGAUUUCUGUGCAGCGCUGGUCAGCCAGGAGCAGUGCACGCUGCUGGCAGAGACCCACAUCUCCCUGCUCAAAGCUAUUCUGAGAGAGGAGGAUACUUCCAACACCACAUUUGGUCCCACUGAUGUGAAGGACUCUGUCAACUCCACUCUGUAUUUUGUGGAUGGUAUGACCUGGCCGGAGGUGGUGCGGGCAUACUGUGAGAGUGACCCGGAGUACCGGCACAUUCUGCCUUUUCAGGAGUGUGAGGAUUACCCGUUUGAACCGUUGGAUAGCAAAAUCAAAGUUCUCCAGUUUUUGGUGGACCAGUUCCUGGCGACCAACAUUGCGCGCGAGGAGCUAAUGUCGGAAGGUGUGGUUGCCUAUGACGACCACUGCAGAGUAUGCCAUCGCCUUGGUGACCUGCUGUGCUGUGAGACAUGUUCAGCCGUUUACCAUCUGGAGUGUGUGAAGCCGCCUUUGCAGGAAGUGCCGGAGGACGAGUGGCAGUGUGAGGUGUGUGUGGCACACAAGGUACCCGGUGUGGCAGACUGCAUCCCAGAAGUGCAGAGGAGCAGACCGUUUAUUCGAGAGCUGCCAGUCGGCUAUGACCGACACAAUCGCAAAUACUGGUUCCUGAACCGCCGCAUUGUUGUUGAGGAGGAUGGCGAGCAGGAGGACAAAGCCAUCUGGUACUACAGCACCAAGGUCCAGCUAGCUGAGCUCAUAGAUUGUUUGGAUAAGCAGUACUGGGAGGCUGACCUGUAUGCAGCACUUGAGGAGAUAAGGGAAGAGGUGCACGGGCAUAUGGACAUCACUGAGGACCUAACUAACAAGGCCCGUGGCAGCAACAAGUGUUUCCUCACUGCUGCCAAUGAGGAGAUCCUGGAGCGGUUGCGGGCAAAGAAGGAGGAGGAGCUGGAGGAGGUGAAGAGACGGGCUGCUGAGGAGGCCCAGAAGGCGCGGCUGGAGAUGGAGAAAAAGGAGAUGGAUGUGGAGAAGAAAGAUGAAGAGGCCAAGGUGAAGGACGAGGGGCAACAGGAGGGCAAAGAUCUGACCGAAGAGGAGGAGACAAAAGAAGAGGCCACGGAAGAGAAAAAAGGUGGUGGAGUUGUUGAAGCUCCACCCACUGGCCAAGAAGGCAGUAGUGGCAGUAGCGUCUCAGAUGGACCUAUACUCCCAGCAACCUGUGCCCCAACACAAACCAUCCCCACCAACGUGACCUAUAGCCUGGCCUCUGAGGCUCCAAAGCCCCCAGCCUCCACACCUGAGGCUCUGGUAGAGGGAUGUUCCCAUAUGGAGGUCUCUAACAUCACCGAAGCAGAAAAGCCAUCAUCAGAUUCUGUCCGUGUCAGCGGAGAUGGCAUCCCCAGCCUGAGCCAGCCCUCCCAGACCAGUGAGGAGAACAGUAACAGCAGCAUGGGAGCUGGGGUCCCUCCCAGAGGUCCCGAACCUCCAGACCUGGCUGACAAGUCCUCCCAGUCAUCCCUGGCCAGCCUUGAUGACACAGUGGACGGCAAAGACUCAGCCAAUGGUGAGACGGGUCCCGGCAGUAAGAAGUCUGCAGCCACUCGCAUGGUGACCCGGCUGAGGAACCCAGAAAGCAAGCUAAGCCAGAUGAAAAAUCAACAGGUGGCCGCUGCUGUUCACGAAGCCAACAAGGGCUUCAAGGAGGGCAAAGAGGUACUAGUAGUAAAUGCACAAGGUGACGUCACCCGUGUCAGCACGCGAGGCAAGGAGGUGGUGAUGAAGGGGACACUCAGCCAAUACUUCAAGCUUGGCCAGGAGGGAAAAUACCGCGUCUAUCAUAACCAGUACAGUUCCAAUACUGUGGCCCUCAACAAGCACCAGCACAGAGAGGACCAUGACAAGAGGCGGCAUCUCUCCCAUAAGUUCUGCAUGACACCAGCAGGAGAGUUUAAGUGGAAUGGGUCCAUUCAUGGCUCAAAGAUUCUGACCAUCUCCACACUGAGAAUCACCAUCAUCCAGCUGGAGAACAACGUUCCAGCACCGUUCAUGCACCCUAACUGGGCCUCACACAGGACCAAUUGGAUCAAAGCAGUUCAGAUGUGCAGUAAGGCCAGAGAGUUUGCGCUGGCUCUGGCCAUCCUGGAGUGUGCCAUCAAGCCUGUGGCUAUGCUGCCUGUCUGGAAGGACUCACUGGGCCAUACCAGGUUAAACCGCAUGACCUCUAUGGAGCGUGAGGAGAAAGAGAAAGUGAAGAAGAGGGAGAAGAAGUUGGAGGAUGAGGAGACAAUGCAACAGGCCACCUGGGUCAAAUACACCUUUCCAAUUAAACACCAGGUGUGGAAGCAGAAAGGAGAGGAGUAUCGCGUUACGGGCUAUGGGGGCUGGAGUUGGAUCAGUAAGACUUAUGUGCAGCGGUUUGUCCCCAGGCUUCCCGGCAACACCAACGCCAACUACCGCAAAGAACUUGAAGAUGCUAAACUUGGAAAGAAAUGUACCCUGUUGGACUUGAGUCGACGUCCCAGUGUAUCUGCACCAGAAGCUCAGGGAGCUGCUGUCUUACACAGUGAGGCAAAAGAUCAGGACUCCUCUGGCCUCUCCAAGCUUGCAACAGAUCAUCCGAUGUCUGUUGAAGAUUUGGAGUCUAAUGAGCGGAUGGAAGAGGAAAAGAAAGAAGGGUUGGGUGAAAAUGAAAAGUCUGAGGAAUUGUCAGCAGAUGAAUCACCUGCAAAGAUGGAGGUGGACCCCGCAUUCUCAAGAUCAGAUGAAGAGCAAAGGUCCAGCAUUCAGGAGGAAAAGGUCUCCAUUAAGGAGGAGCCCACAGAGGGCCCAACACGACCCUUUAACUACGAUGUAGUGGAUGUCAGUAAGGGCUUCCUAACCCGCAUCGCCUACAAGAAGAAGGUCAAGUCCUCCAAGCUGGACAGCCUCCUAGAGCGGCGAGUGAAGCAACACGUUAUUGAAGAGAGGCAGAGGCAGCAGGUGUCUGCCUCCAACCCUCAGACUCCUACACCAGUUUCAUCCACUUCAAACCCCGCGCUGAGCACUCCGGUCCGCCCGCGAUCACCACUUAAGCCCCAUACACUCGCCCAGACACAGCUUGCACUGGGCAAAGCUUCCACAACACAAACUUCAGGGCCAGGAAAAGUUGGAGGACGAGAGGUUGAAAGCGAGAGUCUGGCGGAACUCUCUAAAACGACAGGUGAGCUUGUCACUCCUCCUCUUCCUUCUCCUGUUCCGGACUCAACACCCAAAGACAGUUGCAGUACAGGUACACAAAACCAAACCAGCUCCAUACCCCAGGUAUUGGAGGCAAACUUAGUAGAAAGGACUAUGGGGCCAAAAGAAAUUAAAACGGACAGUUCAGUGCAGGAGGGCGUCACACUGCCUGAUGUACAUGAAACAGCAGGGGGAAUUCAUAGCUCUUUAGAGCGACAAACAGCCAGUGUACCAUCAGAUGUUACUAAGGCUGUGCAUAUUGAAAAUACAGGGUCUGAGGUACCCAACUUAAAAUUGGACUCUCUGAGGACAUCUACAAGUGUUGUUGACCAAAUAAGCAGUCAUAACAUAUCUCCUUCUAAAGGUAUUCAGCAAAACACAGAAACUUUAAGCUCAGCGCAUUCGGGUACGGAGGAAAAUGGCAUGGGGCCAGAGGAGAACCAAGAAAAUAUAGAAGGCAUUGGACUAGGUAAAACCGAAGGCAAUAGCACUCCCGAGCCAGUUUCUCCUCUCCCUCAGGUAAAUGGUAAUGAUGGCUUGGGGAGUGAAAGCAUGUUGAGUAACUCUGUAAUGAGCUCAAAUAAUGUUGUGCUCAGCAACAGUCCACAGCCCAUGGUGAACAACAUCGGUAAAGUUGAAGAACAAGGGCUGGUUGUCUCGUUGAAGGACAGCACACAGCAACAGCCUUUAGUAAACGGAGAUUUGGCUUCUGUAAAUGAUUGUACAGAGGUUGGGGGCGAGGAACCAAGCUUAGCUUCUAAGGUAGAGAGCAAAACGGCGAUAAUAGACCAGCACUACGAGCCGCCGCUGAAGAAGACGAAGCUAGAGAACAACGUAAAUGCACUUGGAGCCAAUACUCAGAGCACUCUACAACACAGCAGCACAUCUGUGGAGACCAAACCCAGUCCUGUGGUCAAGAUCAUCAGAAUGGCACCGUCUCCGAUACCUUCAGCAGAAGAGUCCAGUCUAAGUGACGACUUUGCAGAGGAGAAUAGUAACAGUGGGUCGACAGAACCACUCAAGACCAUCAUCACACAGGUAACCACAACCUCCACAACCACCACAACAGUAGUUUCCACGGAGAUGAGGAUAGCCAAAGUGCCAUCGAAGGCAUCUGUAGUGGUAAUGAAGCCCGACGUGUCGACAAAAGAAAACAGUGCAGUGUCCACCCUUACUACCAUGACCAAAACAACUGUGACCAAAAUCUGUUCCCCCGGCCUCGACGGUCAGUCAGAGGCCAGCCGGAGUGAAAUAGUGACACAAGAACAGAGGACGGCGCUCUCAGCCUCUAUCAGUAAAUCAACAACUGACUCCAGUGGUAAAACCUCAGUGUCGUCUGUUGCUGUGAGCCUGGAGGACUCGUCAUCAACAAAGGGCCGUGUACGUCUUCUCAAGUUCUCCCGCACCAAGAAGACCCGCUCAGACACCGCCCUUCCUUCUUACCGCAAGUUUGUCACCAAGAGCAGCCGCAAGAGUAUUUUUGUACUGCCACAUGACGACUUGAAGGUGCUUGCGCGGCGAGGUGGAUUCCGUGAGGUGUCCAUAUUUAGCUACAAUGCCAAACCAGCACUGGACAUCUGGCCAUAUCCUUCACCCAGGCCCACGUUUGGCAUCACCUGGAGGUAUCGCCUGCAGACGGUGAAGUCUUUGGCUGGUGUGAGCCUGAUGUUGAGGCUCCUGUGGGCCUCUCUGAGAUGGGACGACAUGGCUGUCAAACCAUCCGCUGCUGUAGGCACCACACGUACAGAGACCUCAGAUACUGAAAUCACCACCACCGAGAUCAUCAAGCGCCGUGACGUGGGACCCUAUGGCAUUCGCUCAGAGUACUGCAUCCGCAAAAUCAUCUGCCCCCUUGGAGUGCCUGAGACUCCGAAAGAAACCCACACCCCUCAGAGGAAGGGGCUGCGCUCCAGCGCCUUGCGCCCCAAAAAGCCUGAGCCUGCCAAGCAGACAGGCCCAGUGGUGAUCGAGACCUGGGUGGCUGAGGAGGAGCUGGACCUCUGGGAGAUCAGAGCCUUCUCAGAAAGGGUGGAGAAAGAGAAAGCUCAGGCAGCAGAGCAGGCCAAGAAACGUCUGGAGCAGAAACCGGGCUCAGUCACAGCUACCCCAACAGGGACUCCCUCAACACCUGUUGCCACGCCCAAAGUCAUUGUCAGCUCAUUGUCAGGACAGGGCACCCCCAGCACCAAGGUGGUACUGUCCAGCAAGAUGGGCACCCCCGUCACAUUCCAGCAGAACAAAAACUUCCAGCAGUCGUUCGCCACCUGGGUCAAGCAGGGUCAAAGCACGCAAGGAGCGGGCACGGAGACCACCGUGGCCACGUCUGGUGGGCACACCUUCCAGAUUACGGGAACCUCAGUAGGUGGAAAGGUAGUGACCACCAAGCUGCCGCUGCCCGCCAACAGCAAGAUUGUCACAGUCAACGUGCCAACUUCACAAGGAGGUGUGGUUCAGCAGAAAGUGUUGGGGAUCAUCCCCUCCAGCACAGCAGGCGGUGCCCAGACCUACACCACAUUCCAGCCCCGCACCACCACGCUCAACAUCAGGCACAAUGCCCCGGGCUCCCAGCAACAGGUUCUGGCAGCUGGUGGUCAGAUCCGUCCAGGAAUGACAGUGAUCCGAACACCGAUCCAGCAGACAGGACCAAUGGGAAAGACGAUACUCCGCACACCCCUCAUGGUCCAGCAAGGUCAGGGUGGACAGCAAGUAGUGACGCAGAUCAUUCGUGGCCAGGCAGUUUCCACGGCAAUAUCUGGUGCCAGUCCUGUCGCCACGGUCACUGGCCAAGGGGCGGCCAGCCCUACCACAGCAGGCCAAACACCGCCAGGCACCCCACGGGCGCAGGGGCAAGGCCAGGUUAAACUCACCCUGGCACAGCUCACCCAGCUAACACAGAAGCAGCAGGCUGGGUCAGGUGUGGAUCGGCAGGCUGGCGUCGGUGGUACCCAGCAGGCUCUGACGGUGAUGGUUCAGGGCCAGGGCCAGACCACCGGUCAGCUGCAGGUCAUACCCCACGGGGUCACUGUCAUCCCAGGUCCCGGUCAGCAGCUCAUGCAGGCAGCGCUGCCCAAUGGCCAGGUGCAGCGCUUCCUCUUCACCCCCCUGGCCUCCGCUGCCACACCCACAUCAAGCACAACCACCACAGUUCCCACCUCCACUAAAACCCCAGCGCAGCCCGCCCAGAAGGCUGCGGCCCCCGUCCAGGCAGGGGCGACCCCCUUGGCCACCACCAGCACCCCUUCGUUGGCCACCCCACAGGGCCAGCUACCCCCUCAGACGCAGGCCCACAUGCCCAUCCAGUCCCCCACCUCGCUGCAGGUGAAGACGCAGGGAGGAACCGUGCAGCUGCAGCAGACACCCCAGCUCAUCAGCAUGUCUGGACUGCAGCAGCAGGUACAGGUGUUGGCACAGCUGCAGGCCCAGCAGGGUGGAGGCUCUCUGCCACAGCACAUCAAACUGCAGCUUCCUAUCCAGAUACAACAAACCGGGACCACCUCAGCUCAGGGAGGACAGAUUGGGAACGUAGUGACCAUCCAGGCAGCUUCUGUCCAGGAGCAGCUGCAGAGAAUCCAGCAGCUCAGAGAACAGCAGCAGCAGAAGAAGAGGCAAGCAGCAGAGGCCAAGAGAGAGCAAGCCCUCAACUCAGCCAGCCAGAGCGACAUCAUUCAGAAACAGGUGGUGAUGAAACAAAACGCGGUGAUCGAGCACCUGAAGCAGAAGAAGACCAUGACACCUGCAGAGAGAGAAGAAAAUCAGAGGAUGAUCGUAUGCAACCAGGUGAUGAAGUUCAUCCUUGACCGGAUAGACAAAGAUGAGAGGCAGGCGGCCAAGAGGAGGAAGAAAGAGGAGGUGGUGGAGGCAAAGAGGAGGUUGGCCAAUGCCAGCAAGCUCUCCUCGCUCCUUUAUAGACACAAAGAGAGCCUCAAGAUGGAGAUCCUGAAGAAGCGGGCGCUUCUCGACAAGGAGCUGCAGCUAGAGGCCCAGGAGGAGCUAAAGAGGGACCUGUUGCGGAUGCGGAGGGAGAAGGAGAGGGCUCAGGCUGCAGCCCAGCAGGCGGCCCAGGCCGCCGCCACCGCCGCCGCCACCGCCGCCCACAACCAACAGCAGCAUACUCUGGCACACACGCAUGGCAUCACCUCUCAACACCACCUCACCACGGGCGUCGCCUCCACACACAAGAGGAAACGGGAGGAGGAGAGGGAUACUACGACGUCAGCCAAGUCCAAGAAGAAGAAGAUGAUAUCGACAACGAGCACCAAGGAGAGCAAAAAGGACACCAAGCUCUACUGCGUCUGCAAGACACCCUACGACGAGACCAAGUUCUACAUUGGCUGCGACCUGUGUACCAACUGGUAUCACGGAGACUGUGUGGGCAUCACAGAGAAGGAGGCCAAGAAGAUGGACGACUACAUCUGUGUGGAGUGUAAACGGGGCCAGGAGGGCAGCACAGAGGAGCUGUUCUGCAUCUGUCAGACGCCAUACGACGAGUCCCAGUUCUACAUCGGCUGUGACCGGUGUCAGAACUGGUACCACGGUCGCUGUGUGGGCAUCCUGCAGAGCGAGGCCAACCACAUCGACGAAUACGUGUGCCCGCAAUGUCAGUCGACAGAGGACGCCAUGACGGUCUUCACGCCGCUUACGGACAAAGACUACGAGGGCCUGCGGAGAAUCCUGCGUUCCUUACAGGCACAUAAAAUGGCAUGGCCGUUCCUGGAACCAGUGGACCCAAGCGACGCCCCGGACUACUACAGGGUUAUCAAGGAACCAAUGGACCUUUCCACUAUGGAGGAGAGGAUACAGAAGCGCGAAUACAUCAAGUUGACAGAGUUUGUGGCGGACAUGACCAAAAUCUUCGACAACUGCCGCUACUACAACCCCAGUGACUCGCCCUUCUACCAGUGUGCUGAGGUUCUGGAGACCUUCUUUGUCCAGAAACUCAAAGGGUUCAAAGCCAGCAGAUUGUGAUGUCAAACUCCUGAGUGCCGGGGUCACUCUUUUUACUUGUUUAAAACAGCGUUAAAAACUUUGUCUCAUAACAACAAACUACAAUCAGCUGCAUCUUAGCUCCCUCCUAAAAUCCAAGUGUCAAAAAGACAAGCCUUGUGGUUCCCUCUGAAUGAUUAAGCCCCGUGGUCCAAGUCAGGCUGCAUCUGAACCGGAGCCCUCUCUGCAGGAGAGCACGCUCCCAGCUGAAAAUCAGCUCGCACUGGUGACAAAAGCGCCCAACCUCCGACACCUCCAUUGCAGUGCUAAGUGGAGAGAUGAGCCCCUUUUUUCUUUUAAAGUGUCACUGGGACGUAAUGGCAAAGAAGUCCCACCUUCAGACCAGGGCCGGGAUGGCUACGCACUCUGUCUGGCAGCCUGCUUCAUCCCAACCGGCCAUUCCUGCCAGCGCAUCCCACCCAUGAGAAGAAAGAUCUAGAUGGGGAAAUGCAGAAAAAGUUGAUAAGUUGGCUGGUUGGAUGUUCAGUGACAGUCUGUCACGUCAGCAGCGGACUCUUAAAACAGUUGUGUUCGUAUUGUAGCUGAUCACUGUUUUUGUGUAUCCUUUAUAGCAAAGUGUCAGCUUUGAUCUUUCCACCCAGGGGUGCAUUUUAAUGUUUGUUGAAACAUCCCAAUAAAUCUUAGUCCCCUGCCUUACAUGGAAAUGUCCACAAUGUCAAAAUGAAAAUUCUUCACAUGUGGCAAAAGGCAGGCAUCACAACCAUGUACAGUACCUUGGAGUUCAUUCUUCUCAUAUUUAACGACUGUAUGCCCCAAACCAGCAUUUUAUUGGUCCCCCACCAGUAAAAAAAGAACCCCGUUGAAGCCGAUCAGUUUCAGAUCCACUCUGUGCAGCCAAUCUCACCUUCCAUGUUUCACACCCAACUCCACUGCACCCUGUUAUUUGACUAAACCCUCUGUUGCAUAUCCCUGCACGAAGCUUGAAGCAGCCUCGUAAAAACCCGGUGGCACAUUCACAUUCAGUGGUGCAUUUCACUGUACAUUCCCUGUCACUGUAGCCUGAUGCUGAGAUGCUCCAUUUGCAAUCGAAGCUAGAUUUCUGAAAACUAGUCAGAAGGUGAGUUUUUUUUUUUUUUCUGUUGGAUUUAAAUCACCACAUAUGGGCCUGGACAGCACUCCCUCUCAAGUUAUUCAAGGGGUCUUUAUUUGGUCUGAGGGCUGUCGUGUUAAUUUCCAGCAGGAAAUACCCAGAACCGGCCAUCCCACCACACCCUGCUCCUCUUUUGACCUUUUUACCAUGUUGUGUUCUUCUGAAAUGCAAGUUCAUAAUGUGAACUAUCUCCGUUCUCCUUUAAACUUGACCAUUUGGAAGGAGGUCAAGUAGUGAGGAAGCGCGACUGUCAGGCCUUCAGGGAAGGUGAAACUUGUACAAGGCUUAACUAACCCACAUGUACUGUACCUCCCCUCCAUACACACACACACACACACACACGUCUCGUCAAAAGCUCUGUUUCUGUCAGUGGCUGAGUCUGUAAGUCUCUUCCCCCUUAUCUAUCAGCCACUUCUUCCAACAUAUUUCAUUGAGGUUGACAGGUUGGCUCACAUAUGUCUCUCAACUCGCCCUCAAAGCAUGGUUAAGUAAUUGGAUAAUGGACUUUUCCACUCAGCAUCAACUCAGUUAUGUUGCGGUCUGCUGCAGUAUGUCUGGGAAUAAACUUUGAGUGGGGACUCGGGAGUCUUUGUACCGUGGGGUUUGUAUGAAAAUUUUAUAGCUACAUUUUUAUCAUAUUUGGGAACAUUUUUGUAAUCUGUAAUUAUCAGUUUUGUAGGAAGGGAGCAGUCAUAAUACACGGUUGUCUUUAAGUUGUUAAAAAAAAUAAAUUAAAAAAACUAGGCAGAUGUUUUGGUUUCAAUCAGUUUUUUUUGUGUGUAUUUGCAGAGUUGAGAGAUAAUGUAGCUGCCUAUCUUCUUUACUGUGUUUGUGUGUCUUUCACACAAAUGUCCGUCACUUUGUAAUUUGACGAUGAUGAUGUGUUUCAUCCACUGUUUGAAACCUCUAUUGUAUAUUAUGGCUGUCCAAAUAUGUAGAGAUAAAAGAUUUUUAGAGCAGUAGAAACUUUUAUUUUUCACUCUUUGAACCAGCAACUAAGCCCGCCUGUAUAUUUUAACUGUCUAUUUUUUUCUCUUUAAUUGAAGUGAACUCUACAUUUUAGAAGAAAUGGCUCUUUAUAUUAAAAGUGCUGCAUAUUGUGAGCAUAAUGGUUUUGAAUGGGUGAGAGUGACAUAGUUUUUUUUUCUAAGAAACCAACCAGUUCAACAUAACUUCUACAGUAUAUUGACAUUGCAUUUCUUGUAUUAUUUAUUCAUAUCGAUGAAAAAGUUCUCAGUUUUUUUAGUAAUGUUGAGGAAACGUAACUGCAGAUUUAAAAAAGAAAAAAAAAAGAACUAUGUUUUUAACUGAUUGUGGCAACUCUGAAAAGAUUCUCUUUUGUACUUGAUAGGACAUUUCAUCCUAGAUAAUAAAGUAAUGCUUUUGACACCAGC